GGGUAACGGUGCUAACCAGUGUGCUGCCCUGGUAAGAGGAGAACCACUGAGGGAACGCCUUCCGCCCACCGACGCCUCCACCGUGACCUCCACUUCUGAGAGGAAUUGCCUACAGAUCAAGUACGGAGUGUGCCUGAAUGGACAUACAGAACUCCAAGGUUCGGCCCUGCGUUGAGGGUUUUCCCAAAGGGGAGGGCCCGGCGGGCGGUGCCUCACAGCCCUCCGCCUGUGGGAGUGGCCCUUUCUACUAAGGAAGCAAGUUCUGCAUGUCCUGGUGACCCUCCACCUGUUUCAUAGAGUCUCAGGGGAGCUCGAGCCUAUCCCAGCUAUCUUAGGGGAACGGCAGGGUACACUCUCGACUGGUCACCAGUCUGUUGCAGGGCUAACACAUAGACACAGAAAACCAUUGGCACCUAUGGGCAAUUUAGAUUUUCCAAUUAGGCUAUUUCCACUAACUGCAGGUCGUUGGACUGUGGCAGGAAGCCGGAGUACAAGGAGAGAACCCACGCAAAACCGGGGAGAACAUGCCAACUCCACACAGAACGAUGGUAGAGCUGAACUCAGGACCUUCUUCCGGUUGGGUAACGGUGCUAACCUCUGUGCUGCCCUGGUGUGAGUAACCGUCUCCCAGAAAUUUGAACAAGUUCAAUUACUUUCUUUUCAAGCUGCUUACACUACAUUGACUUAUGUUUUUACACAAUCUCAGAAGAGGAGAACCACUGAGGGAACGCCUUCCGCCCACCGACGCCUCCACCGUGACCUCCACUUCUGAGAGGAAUUGCCUACAGAUCAAGUACGGAGUGUGCCUGAAUGGACAUACAGAACUCCAAGGUUCGGCCCUGCGUUGAGGGUUUUCCCAAAGGGGAGGGCCCGGCGGGCGGUGCCUCACAGCCCUCCGCCUGUGGGAGUGGCCCUUUGUACUAAGGAAGCAAGUUCUGCAUGUCCUGGUGACCCUCCACCUGUUUCAUAGGUCGUUGGACUGUGGCAGGAAGCCGGAGUACAAGGAGAGAACCCACGCAAAACCGGGGAGAACAUGCCAACUCCACACAGAACGAUGGUAGAGCUGAACUCAGGACCUUCUUCCGGUUGGGUAACGGUGCUAACCUCUGUGCUGCCCUGGUAAGAGGAGAGCCACUGAGGGAACGCCUUCCGCCCACCGACGCCUCCACCGUGACCUCCACUUCUGAGAGGAAUUGCCUACAGAUCAAGUACGGAGUGUGCCUGAAUGGACAUACAGAACUCCAAGGUUCGGCCCUGCGUUGAGGGUUUUCCCAAAGGGGAGGGCCCGGCGGGCGGUGCCUCACAGCCCUCCGCCUGUGGGAGUGGCCCUUUGUACUAAGGAAGCAAGUUCUGCAUGUCCUGGUGACCCUCCACCUGUUUCAUAGGUCGUUGGACUGUGGCAGGAAGCCGGAGUACAAGGAGAGAACCCACGCAAAACCGGGGAGAACAUGCCAACUCCACACAGAACGAUGGUAGAGCUGAACUCAGGACCUUCUUCCGUUUGGGUAACGGUGCUAACCAGUGUGCUGCCCUGGUAAGAGGAGAACCACUGAGGGAACGCCUUCCGCCCACCGACGCCUCCACCGUGACCUCCACUUCUGAGAGGAAUUGCCUACAGAUCAAGUACGGAGUGUGCCUGAAUGGACAUACAGAACUCCAAGGUUCGGCCCUGCGUUGAGGGUUUUCCCAAAGGGGAGGGCCCGGCGGGCGGUGCCUCACAGCCCUCCGCCUGUGGGAGUGGCCCUUUCUACUAAGGAAGCAAGUUCUGCAUGUCCUGGUGACCCUCCACCUGUUUCAUAGGUCGUUGGACUGUGGCAGGAAGCCGGAGUACAAGGAGAGAACCCACGCAAAACCGGGGAGAACAUGCCAGCUCCACACAGAACGAUGGUAGAGCUGAACUCAGGACCUUCUUCCGGUUGGGUAACGGUGCUAACCUCUGUGCUGCCCUGGUAAGAGGAGAACCACUGAGGGAACGCCUUCCGCCACCGACGCCUCCACCGUGACCUCCACUUCUGAGAGGAAUUGCCUACAGAUCAAGUACGGAGUGUGCCUGAAUGGACAUACAGAACUCCAAGGUUCGGCCCUGCGUUGAGGGUUUUCCCAAAGGGGAGGGCCCGGCGGGCGGUGCCUCACAGCCCUCCGCCUGUGGGAGUGGCCCUUUCUACUAAGGAAGCAAGUUCUGCAUGUCCUGGUGACCCUCCACCUGUUUCAUAGAGUCUCAGGGGAGCUCGAGCCUAUCCCAGCUAUCUUAGGGGGAGAGGCAGGGUACACUCUCGACUGGUCACCAGUCUGUUGCAGGGCUAACACAUAGACACAGAAAACCAUUGGCACCUAUGGGCAAUUUAGAUUUUCCAAUUAGGCUAUUUCCACUAACUGCAGGUCGUUGGACUGUGGCAGGAAGCCGGAGUACAAGGAGAGAACCCACGCAAAACCGGGGAGAACAUGCCAACUCCACACAGAACGAUGGUAGAGCUGAACUCAGGA
Molecule: long non-coding RNA, 2484 nt
Organism: Oreochromis niloticus (Nile tilapia)
Lineage: Eukaryota; Metazoa; Chordata; Actinopteri; Cichliformes; Cichlidae
Exons: 10
Source: RefSeq, a predicted model, not a curated record